GAUGAACGCUAGCGGCAGGCCUAAUACAUGCAAGACGAACGGUAAGUUGAGUAGCAAUACUUAGCCAAGAGUGUCGUACGGGUGCGUAACACGUAUGCAACCUACCCUAUACAGGAGGAUAGCCUAGGGAAACCUGGAUUAACCCUUCAUAGUAUUAUUGGAUGGCAUCAUUUGAUAAUUAAAACUGAGGUGGUAUAGGAUGGGCAUGCGUCUGAUUAGUUAGUUGGCGGGGUAAUGGCCCACCAAGACGAUGAUCAGUAGGGGUUCUGAGAGAAAGAUCCCCCACACUGGCACUGAGAUACGGGCCAGACUCCUACGGGAGACAGCAGUAGGGAAUAUUGGUCAAUGGAUGCAAGUCUGAACCAGCCAUGCCGCGUGCAGGAAGAA
RNAcentral lists this ribosomal RNA (387 nucleotides) under uncultured bacterium. RNAcentral's name for it is "bacterial SSU rRNA". It matches the Rfam family "Bacterial small subunit ribosomal RNA", at positions 28 to 412 of the family's 1533-position model. The record is from RNAcentral.